CACCAUCAAAAUCACUGUCUUCUUCUUUUCUCCAUUUUCAUGGUCACAAAGAAAGUGCAAUAACUAGAGCAGCAACUCCAAACAAACCAGCAUUUUGCAAGGUGGCCGCUUUGGAGUUAUCAGCUGGGGUAACAUCGGGGCUAUCAGCAACAGUGGUAGCCUUCUUAUUCUUCGACUUUGCCGGUGCCGGUGCGGGAGCUGGAGGCCUAGGUGCAAAUAUUUGCAAUGGUUGAAGAACUUGAUCGAUUUGAUAAACAGCAAGCUGACCAUCAGUGUAAAUAGUGCCGGAAACACUGGUGUUUGUCAACCCUGUUGUUAUAUUCACAGAGUUCCCCGAAGUGGUGACAUUGAGAGGGAACUUGCCAUCGCCACUAUCACCAGCUUGGGUUCUCAAAGGGUUGCUAAUGGUUUGGAACUGAGACGAGGUGAGGUAUGUUGGGACGAUGUGGAAUUGCACCAGCUGCACUUUUUGUUCAUCGGUGAGUGAAUUCAAUGUGCCCGAUUUAAGGCUGGAGAAAGCAUUGUCCGUUGGUGCAAAAACGGUCAUACCAUUGUUGGAAUUGUUGAGCUGACCGAGCAGCUGGUUGGCCACUUGAGUGGACUUUAGAAGACGAAUGAAGAGGGUGAAUUGACCAGCUUUUUCGAGGAUCUUGGUGACGUUUGUCGGACCAGAAGGUGCCGGGGCCAGUGCCGGAGAUUGGGCUAAUGUUGUUGAACAACUGAGGGAAAACAGGAUGAGCAACGUGAGAGUAGUGAAGACAUAUUGUUGCCUCAUUGUGGGUUGUAUUGGAAG
Molecule: long non-coding RNA, 793 nt
Filed under: Gossypium barbadense (sea-island cotton)
Lineage: Eukaryota; Viridiplantae; Streptophyta; Magnoliopsida; Malvales; Malvaceae
Description: long non-coding RNA (GBAR_LNC019353)
Source: RNAcentral